UCCUCAUCAGGCUCAGGCAAAUCUUCAUCAUCAUCUAGCUCAGCUAACAGAGUACUGGCACGACAGCUAUCAAGAAAAUCUAGAAAAUAAAACCAACAACCUUAUUAUCAACAUGACUGACAAAGGAUAGCAAGAUAAAUUUGCAUUCUGGGCUACACAAAACAAAGGAUUUUGCUAUGUAGCCCAGGCUGGCUUCGAACUCAAGGUGAUCCUCCUGCUUCAGCCUCCUGAGUGCUGGGAUUACAGGCAUGCAUCAUCACGCCCAGCUCAUAAUUUUUAAGUCUUUCAUAUCAAUGAGCUUUUUUAUCUUAAAGGACGAUUUCACAUUUAUGAGAGGAGAGAAUUUUUUUUAAGCAAAUGGUAAAACUUUCCCAGGAGAAAAACAUCAUAAAAGCAUCAUCUUAUCAAUAUUUACAUCUAUUUAUUUAAAGUGUAACUCACCAUAUAAGGAAUAUUCUGCUUCCUGCCCUGUGUCACUCUCACUGGAUGUUGACGUGAGGCUGGUAGUUAAAGUAUUACUUAAUGACUGGCCAACUGAUAAAACAGUUGUGGCUGUAGCUGCAUUGCUGCUGCUAGUAACACUGGAUGUCGACAUAGUCACUGUGGAUGUGGUACCAGGUGUGGUCAGAUUAGGGAAACUCUGAGCACCCAUUAGAGGAGAAGCUAAAGAUAAAAA
Molecule: non-coding RNA, 676 nt
Organism: Heterocephalus glaber (naked mole-rat)
Lineage: Eukaryota; Metazoa; Chordata; Mammalia; Rodentia; Bathyergidae
Source: RefSeq, a predicted model, not a curated record